This 90-nucleotide unclassified non-coding RNA is filed under the name Pseudomonas sp. NFACC04-2. The record is from RNAcentral. Lineage: Bacteria; Pseudomonadati; Pseudomonadota; Gammaproteobacteria; Pseudomonadales; Pseudomonadaceae.
UGUGGGGGCGAGCUUGCUCGCGAUAGCGGUGUGUCAGUCAGCACCAAUAUUGACCGAUCGGCUGCUAUCGCGAGCAAGCUCGCCCCCCAC